AGAGUUUGAUCCUGGCUCAGGAUGCACGCUAGCUACAGGCUUAACACAUGCAAGUCAAGGGGCAGCAUUUUAGUUUGCUUGCAGACUAAAGAUGGCGACCGGCGCACGGGUGAGUAACACGUAUCCAACCUGCCGAUAACUCGGGGAUAGCCUUUCUAAAGAAAGAUUAAUAUCCGAUAGUAUAUUAAAACCGCAUGGGUUUACUAUUAAAGAAUUUCGGUUAUCGAUGGGGAUGCGUUCCAUUACGUUUGUUGGCGGGGUAACGGCCCACCAAGACUACGAUGUAUAGGGGUUCUGAGAGGAAGGUCCCCCACAUUGGAAGUGAGACACGGUCCAAACUCAUACGGGAGGCAGCAGUGAGGAAUAUUGGUCAAUGGACGAGAGUCUGAACCAGCCAAGUAGCGUGAAGGAUGUCUGCCCUAUGGGUUGUAAACUUCUUUUAUAAAGGAAUAAAGUCGGGUAUGUAUACCCGUUUGCAUGUACUUUAUGAAUAAGGAUCGGCUAACUCCGUGCCAGCAGCCGCGGUAAUACGGAGGAUCCGAGCGUUAUCCGGAUUUAUUGGGUUUAAAGGGAGCGUAGAUGGAUGUUUAUAGUCAGUUGUGAUACAGUUUGGGGUUCAACCGUAAAAUUGCAGUUGAUACUGGAUAUUUUGAGUGCAGUUGAGGGCAGGGGGAAUUUCGUGGUGUAGCGGUGAAAAUGCUUAGAUAUCACGAAGAACUCCGAUUGCGAAGGCAGCUUGCUAAGCUGCAACUGACAUUGAGGCUCGAAAGUGUGGGUAUCAAACAGGAUUAGAUACCCUGGUAGUCCACGCAGUAAACGAUGAAUACUAACUGUUUGCGAUACAAUGUAAGCGGUACAGCGAAAGCGUUAAGUAUUCCACCUGGGGAGUACGCCGGCAACGGUGAAACUCAAAGGAAUUGACGGGGGCCCGCACAAGCGGAGGAACAUGUGGUUUAAUUCGAUGAUACGCGAGGAACCUUACCCGGGCUCAAACGCAGGGGGAAUAUAUAUGAAAGUAUAUAGCUAGCAAUAGUCACCUGCGAGGUGCUGCAUGGUUGUCGUCAGCUCGUGCCGUGAGGUGUCGGCUUAAGUGCCAUAACGAGCGCAACCCCUAUGGACAGUUACUAACGGGUGAAGCCGAGGACUCUGUCGAGACUGCCGGCGCAAGCCGCGAGGAAGGUGGGGAUGACGUCAAAUCAGCACGGCCCUUACGUCCGGGGCUACACACGUGUUACAAUGGGGGGUACAGAAGGCCGCUACCUGGUGACAGGAUGCCAAUCCCAAAAACCUCUCUCAGUUCGGAUAGAAGUCUGCAACCCGUCUUAGUGAAGCUGGAUUCGCUAGUAAUCGCGCAUCAGCCAUGGCGCGGUGAAUACGUUCCCGGCUCUUGCACUCAACACCCGUCA
Molecule: ribosomal RNA, 1406 nt
Filed under: uncultured bacterium
Lineage: Bacteria
Description: 16S ribosomal RNA
Rfam family: Bacterial small subunit ribosomal RNA
Source: RNAcentral